Molecule: transfer RNA, 90 nt
Filed under: Armatimonadota bacterium
Lineage: Bacteria; Bacillati; Armatimonadota
Description: Armatimonadetes bacterium tRNA-Ser
Rfam family: tRNA
About the family: Transfer RNA (tRNA) molecules are approximately 80 nucleotides in length. Their secondary structure includes four short double-helical elements and three loops (D, anti-codon, and T loops). Further hydrogen bonds mediate the characteristic L-shaped molecular structure. tRNAs have two regions of fundamental functional importance: the anti-codon, which is responsible for specific mRNA codon recognition, and the 3' end, to which the tRNAs corresponding amino acid is attached (by aminoacyl-tRNA synthetases). tRNAs cope with the degeneracy of the genetic code in two manners: having more than one tRNA (with a specific anti-codon) for a particular amino acid; and 'wobble' base-pairing, i.e. permitting non-standard base-pairing at the 3rd anti-codon position.
Source: RNAcentral
GGAGGGGUGUCCGAGUGGUUGAAGGAGGCGGUCUUGAAAACCGCUGACCGAGCAAUCGGUCCGGGGGUUCGAAUCCCUCCCCCUCCGCCA